GACGUAGGGCGCGAGCGUUGUCCGGAAUUAUUGGGCGUAAAGCGCACGUAGGCGGCUUUGCAAGUCGGAUGUGAAAUCCCUCGGCUUAACCGUGGAAGUGCAUGGGAAACUGCUGAGCUUGAGUACUUAAGAGGAUCGCGGAAUUCCCGGUGUAGAGGUGAAAUUCGUAGCUAUCGGGAGGAACACCAGUGGCGAAGGCGGCGAUCUGGGAAGAUACUGACGCUGAGGUGCGAAAGCGUGGGGAGCAAACAGG
Molecule: ribosomal RNA, 253 nt
Filed under: uncultured bacterium
Lineage: Bacteria
Description: partial 16S ribosomal RNA
Rfam family: Bacterial small subunit ribosomal RNA
Source: RNAcentral